UACGGGGGGGGCAAGCGUUGUUCGGAAUUACUGGGCGUAAAGGGCUCGUAGGCGGCCAACUAAGUCGGACGUGAAAUCCCCAGGCUCAACCUGGGAACUGCGUACGAUACUGGAUGGCUUGAAUCCGGGAGAGGGAUGCAGAAUUCCAGGUGUAGCGGUGAAAUGCGUAGAUAUCUGGAGGAAUACCGGUGGCGAAGGCGGCAUCCUGGACCGGCAUUGACGCUGAGGAGCGAAAGCCAGGGGAGCAAACGGG
Molecule: ribosomal RNA, 253 nt
Filed under: uncultured bacterium
Lineage: Bacteria
Description: partial 16S ribosomal RNA
Rfam family: Bacterial small subunit ribosomal RNA
Source: RNAcentral